This 403-nucleotide ribosomal RNA is filed under the name Verrucomicrobiota bacterium. RNAcentral describes it as "Verrucomicrobia bacterium partial 16S ribosomal RNA". It matches the Rfam family "Bacterial small subunit ribosomal RNA", at positions 355 to 776 of the family's 1533-position model. The record is from RNAcentral. Lineage: Bacteria; Pseudomonadati; Verrucomicrobiota.
UGGGGAAUAUUGCACAAUGGAGGGAACUCUGAUGCAGCGACGCCGCGUGAACGAAGAAGGCUUUCGAGUCGUAAAGUUCUUUUAUAUGGGAAGAUAAUGACGGUACCAUAAGAAAAAGCCCCGGCUAACUACGUGCCAGCAGCCGCGGUAAUACGUAGGGGGCUAGCGUUGUCCGGAAUCACUGGGCGUAAAGGGUUCGCAGGCGGAAAUGCAAGUCAGGUGUAAAAGGCAGUAGCUUAACUACUGUAAGCAUUUGAAACUGCAUAUCUUGAGAAGAGUAGAGGUAAGUGGAAUUUUUAGUGUAGCGAUGAAAUGCGUAGAUAUUAAAAAGAAUACCGGUGGCGAAGGCGACUUACUGGGCUCAUUCUGACGCUGAGGAACGAAAGCGUUGGUAGCAAACAGG